Molecule: small RNA, 563 nt
Filed under: Pan troglodytes (chimpanzee)
Lineage: Eukaryota; Metazoa; Chordata; Mammalia; Primates; Hominidae
Description: retained intron
Source: RNAcentral
AGUCUGGACAGUCAUGGCGGCGACUGUGGCGACGGCGGCAGCUGUGGCCCCGGCGCCAGCGCCCGGCACGGACGGCGCCUCUUCAGUGCACUGGUUCCGCAAAGGGCUGCGACUCCACGACAACCCGGCGUUGCUGGCGGCCGUGCGCGGGGCGCGCUGCGUGCGCUGCGUUUACAUUCUCGACCCGUGGUUCGCGGCCUCCUCCUCAGUCGGGAUCAACCGAUGGAGGUUCCUACUUCAGUCUCUGGAAGAUUUGGACACAAGUUUAAGGAAACUGAACUCCCGCCUGUUUGUAGUCCGGGGACAGCCAGCCGACGUGUUCCCAAGGCUGUUCAAGGUAAGCGUGCAGAGCCCCAGAGAAGACAGUGAGAUUCUGUCCCUGAGGGUUUCCCCACAGCCUGAGUGAUAUGAUAUUCCGACUGAGGGAAUGGAAACAUCAGGGCUGGUCUGGCUGUUGCUGCUAGAGAAGUUGGGAGCAAAGGCAGCCAGUUAGCUUGCUCUUGGAAUGGAAACUGUGUUAAGGAAAAAAAUUCUGGGAAACCAGUGUCUUGUUGGAAAGCUCU